UGGAGAUGGAAUUCAGAGCACAGACCUGAUUGAGAACUCUGUGAGGCACGUUCUUUUUUCCCAUCAUGCGUCAAUAAAGAAAAGAUACAGCACUGACAUACAACUGAAAAGGAACAAAGGCUUCAAGACGCCAGCCUGAGGACAUUGAAGCCUCCAGAUGGAAAUGCAGCUCUUACAGUCACCUUGAUUUUAGCCAGUGAAAUGCACAUCAGACUUCUG
This 219-nucleotide long non-coding RNA is filed under the name Mustela putorius furo (domestic ferret). RNAcentral's name for it is "lncRNA (ENSMPUG00000024189.1)". Lineage: Eukaryota; Metazoa; Chordata; Mammalia; Carnivora; Mustelidae. The record is from RNAcentral.